RNAcentral lists this ribosomal RNA (274 nucleotides) under uncultured bacterium. RNAcentral describes it as "partial 16S ribosomal RNA". It matches the Rfam family "Bacterial small subunit ribosomal RNA", at positions 523 to 796 of the family's 1533-position model. The record is from RNAcentral.
AUACGGAGGGGGUUAGCGUUGUUCGGAAUUACUGGGCGUAAAGCGCACGUAGGCGGACUGGAAAGUUGGGGGUGAAAUCCCGGGGCUCUACCCCGGAACUGCCUCCAAAACUUCCAAUCUAGAGAUCGAGAGAGGUGAGUGGAAUUCCAAGUGUAGAGGUGAAAUUCGUAGAUAUUUGGAGGAACACCAGUGGCGAAGGCGGCUCACUGGCUCGAUACUGACGCUGAGGUGCGAAAGCGUGGGGAGCAAACAGGAUUAGAAACCCCAGUAGUCC